This is a long non-coding RNA of Eriocheir sinensis (Chinese mitten crab), 3902 nucleotides long. RefSeq lists it as uncharacterized. Lineage: Eukaryota; Metazoa; Arthropoda; Malacostraca; Decapoda; Varunidae. The transcript is spliced from 2 exons. The record is from RefSeq and is a predicted model, not a curated record.
UAGUAUAGUAGGAAAACGAGGCACAACAGGAAGAAGAAAUAUCAUGACUGUAUAACUCUGCUUCGCGACGAACACACACACACACACACACACACACACACACACACACACACAUACACACACACAGAGAGAGAGAGAGAGAGAGAGAGAGAGAGAGAGAGAGAGAGAGAGAGAGAGAGAGAGAGAGAGAGAGAGAGAGAGAGAGAGAGAGAGAGAGAGAGAGAGAGAGAGAGAGAGAGAGAGAGAGAGAGAGAGAGAGAGAGACGGAUAGGUGGGCAGACCAGUCAUGCCGGAUUUCAAUAGCGAACAGGUGUAUGAAUAAACAAUGUAAUGGAGAGAGAGAGAGAGAGAGAGAGAGAGAGAGAGAGAGAGAGAGAGAGAGAGAGAGAGAGAGAGAGAGAGAGAGAGAGAGAGAGAGAGAGAGAGAGAGAGAAGGCGGCCAGGGAGUAUUUGGGUGACAGUUGUUGUCUCUGCUCACACCUUCAACACGGAGUUGCCUAAACGGUGAAGGAGGAGGAGUGGAGGGGGGGAAAGGAGGAGGAAGAGAGGAGGAGGGAGUGAGGGAGGAUCGAAAGGAGUUUGGGGAAGAAGGGAAAAACUGAGACACGGAGAGAAGUUACGGGGAGCUCGUUAAAGGAGGGAGAUAUGGGAGAUAAAGUGGAGUAAGGGGAGGGAGGAAAGAGAAGUGAGGGGAUGGAAGGAAGGAAGGAAGGAGGAAUGGAAACAAGUAUGAGGAGGUAAAGAGGAGUGAGGGGAUGGAAGGAAGGAAGGAAGGAGGAAUGGAAACAAGUAUGAGGAGAUAAAGAGGAGUGAGGGUAGAGACAGAGGAAGAAUGGAGGAAAGGAGUGAUAUAUACGAAUAGAGAGGAGUGCAUGGUAAGAUAAAGGAGUGGGGUGAAACAAUAGGCAUGGAAAGAUGAAUGUAGGGGAAGAAUGGAGGGAAGGAGGAGGUAGAAGAUGGAGGGAUGCAAGGAAGAUAGGGAGAGAAGGUGAAAAGUAAAUGUGUAAAGAGAGACGGAAGAAGGAAUUAAUAGGUAGGUAAGAGGAGGAGGGAGAGGAGAACUGUAGGGAAGGUGGGGGUUAGGGGGUAGGAAGGUGCGGGAAGGGGGAAAGGGUAGGGAGAGAGGGAGCGAAUUAUCGGGAGGUAAGAAGGGAGGGAUGGGUGAAUGGCCUUUACUACCUAGAAAAGAUGUAGAUGGUAAAGGAUGUUAGACAGAAGAAUGAAAACUUUUGAUGGACGUAGCUGUGUGUGUGUGUGUGUGUGUGUGUGUGUGUGUGUGUGUGUGUGUGUGUGUGUGUGUGUGUGUGUGUGUGUGUGUGUGUAUUUUCAUAAGCUUGUGUUAGGAUAGAAUUACGUAUGUUCGGUGUUUAUUUACAGUUUGGGUGCCUUCGCUAGUAUCACCCAGUUUAACUAAGCCACCCUUGACGUUGGGGGCGAUGAACCGCACACACGCAAUCUUUGACCACUCGGCGAUGGUCUAGCAAAGCCGUUAGCGCUAAUAGGAAAAAAAAAAAAAAAACAUUACCCUUAUUAUUUCCCCGCUCGUCCGAUGGUGGCACAGAUGAAGAACUGGUCGAGAUUGAUAGAUGAACCUGGCUGUUAUAUUCUUUCCUUCUCUCUGUUGUACACUAAGUCAGUAUAGAAUGUUGUUGGUAAUGGUGGUAGUGUUACAUAAGAACAACAACCUUCGAGUCUAACAUAAAUCUACGGAACUAAACGUAUGAAGUGGUGACGGAGUAAUUUUAUUUAUUUUUUUUUUUUUUUUACAGCAGAGGAGUCAGUUCAAGGGCAUAAAAAAGGUAACAAAUGUAAGAAAAAAAAAAAGCCCGAUACUCACUGCUCCUAAAAAGAGUUAGAGGAGUGGCCGAAAGAUAGGUCAAUUUCGGGAGGAGAGGUGUCCUGAUACCUGAACCUGGCCGUCACUUUUCUUAUACACAUCUGGUCAGUGGAUAUUGGCGAUAACGUUGUUGGUGGAAGUGGUGUAUAAGAAAACUCUCGAGUCACCAUUAACCUACAGAGCUGUAUAAAAAAAAGUGGCAGAACAAUGAACCUGGCUGUCAGUUUCUUAACCUCUCUCAGCUGUACCCUCACUCCCUCAGCCAGUAUAAAGAAUAGCGGUAAGUUGGUGAUGUUGGAUGUACUGUGCAAGUAAAACAACUUUCGAAUCUAACAUAAUCACAUAGAACUAGAGGCGAUAAUACCACCACCGGCAUGUGUCGUUCAAUAUACAGGCCAGUGUGGGGAGUGGGGAGUGUGGCGGCGGUGGUGGCAAACGUGAACUUUAUCGUAAGGGUUUAACAAAGCUACAGUACGGUGCCACUAGAGCCAGGAAUGUCUGUCGUCAGGUGAGUCUGGGGAAAUGGAGCCCCGGAGAAAUAUGUCACGUUAUCGCCGGAGACAGGACGAGCAGAUAGGAGAGAUAAUCACUGUUAAAGAUACUUGAAGGUAUUCCUCGGGGGCGACAACCACUGCACGCCACGUAUAGAUGACGAUGACCAUUACGUUGAAUUGACUUGCUUUCAUGUCACACAAGAGCAUGCGGUUUUGAUGCAAGGGAAGAAGGGAGUGCUCAACUGCUGAUGUAAUUGUUCAUCAUUAUUUCUAUGAGACGACAACGGCUGCACUUCACUCAUAUUGGACAAUGACUGUUUAAAUUAACUUACUUGGCUUCAUUUAAUCCAUGGACAUGCGGGAAAGAUGUGAUCGCUGGUAUAAUUGUUUGUUUAUCUGUAUAAGAAUGAAACGUAAACAUCUGUGCGUCAUUUACAAGAGAUUGAACUUUUAGAUUAAAUUUAUUAUUUCGUUUCGUUUUGCAUAGUGACAGACAGAUCUAAAAUUUGGCACAAGGGAAGAGAUGCUCGAAGGUAUACACACUUUAAAUUAUUCCCGUGAAGUGAGGAAAGACAUGAACAUACGAAUACGGCCAACACGAAUCAGGAAUAGUUCGUUGGAAAAGACGGAUGCGUUUCUCCUACUACGGGAACUGUAAACAACAAAAUGAACAACAACCUCUUAGCAUGUCGAGGGGCCAACACAGAAGUGGAAAGGGAACUGACACAGUAGAGGGAAAACAAACACUCGCCCUUCAAGACGUCCAAGUUUCAUGAUUCAGGAAAGGGGAAGCAGGCAUACUCUUCCUUUUUAUAGUGUGGUGUCCUCGAGCUGCCUUCGUUACUGUGAAAAAUUUAUAUACAGUAGACGGAAGCAAACAUACUCAUCCUUUUUUAAUAUCCUUUUAUAUACAGUAGACGGAAGCAAACAUACUCAUCCUUUUUAAUAUCCUUUUAUAUACAGUAGACGGAAGCAAACAUACUCAUCCUUUCUUAAUAUCUUUUCUUUAGGGGGGUGGGGCCCUGAGUUGCCUCCCUUACUGUUAUGAAUAUGGAGUAGGAGGGAAGCAUACACUCUUUUUAUAACAUCUCACGUAAUUGACUGCUCUUUCGGCCACCUCUUCGGAUUCUUUACAGGAGCAGUGAGUAGCGGGCUUUUUUAUAUUGUUUCCUUUUCUGUGUGCCCUUGUGCUGUCUCCUUUGCUGUAAAAAAAAUAAUAUGUUCGUUCAGUGAAACAGGCGACGCUUUACCCCCUUAAAAACAAAUUCCUUAAACAUAUCCAGCGUCCAAAACUAUGAAAAACACUGUCAUUUCUAAUCAACAUACCGGAUGCGAGGGAAUGUCCGACACGAUAACAGUUUGCAGGCUGAAAAUGACACAGAAAUUUCAGUGCAAUCAGUUACCUCACUUGCUAUCGCCUCUAAAACCAUCCAUUAUCAGACAGCCCAACGAAUCACAACACUUUUCAUACACCUGCGCCUUCCUUUACCUUGAUAAUAUAUACAGGUGGGUAAACUGGAUAUAUGUGUACAAAUAUUGGUGCGGGUUGACUAAUUGUGUUUGCUAAGCGA